Molecule: long non-coding RNA, 183 nt
Organism: Thunnus maccoyii (southern bluefin tuna)
Lineage: Eukaryota; Metazoa; Chordata; Actinopteri; Scombriformes; Scombridae
Exons: 2
Source: RefSeq, a predicted model, not a curated record
GUGAAACUGGUGGAAGAAAUAGUCGUGUGUCGGGAAGAGUUGUGAAUUAAAUGGCUAAAAAUGACCACGGUUUUAAGCAGAGGAAAUGAAUAAUCAUCUCCCUGCACAUUGAUUUUUUCCCCCUGUUGUUUGUAUGUAUUUGUUUAAUUUUAACCUGUGCAAAUAAAUAAACUCAAAUAUGAA